UGCGGCGCGACGGGCGGCCGCGUCCCCGGGAGCCGGACUGGGUUCAACGAGCCCAAGCGGUUCCGACUAACGGGGCGAGGAAAGUCCGAACUCCGCAGGGCAGGACGCCGGGUAACCCCCGGGACGCGACAAGCGUACGGAAAGUGCCACAGAGAGGGGAUCCACCAGGAUCCCGCAGACCGCCCAAGUCCGCCUCGGCGGACCGGCAAGGGUGAAAAGGUGGGGUAAGAGCCCACCAGUGGCGCCGGCGACGGCGUCGGCUCGGUAAACCCCGUCCGGAGCAAGACCAAAUAGGAGACGAUGGGUGGCCCGCCCCAGGCGUCUCGGGUAGGUCGCUGGAGCCGCGGGAGCGAUCCCCGGCGUAAGAUGGAUGGUCGCCGUCCCGUCGGAGGGGAAACCCGACCGCACGACGGGAGACAGAAUUCGGCUUACAGUCGCGCCCACGUA
RNAcentral lists this RNase P RNA (447 nucleotides) under Candidatus Coatesiibacteriota bacterium. Its description in RNAcentral is "Candidatus Coatesbacteria bacterium RNase P RNA component class A". It matches the Rfam family "Bacterial RNase P class A". From Rfam's summary of the family: Ribonuclease P (RNase P) is a ubiquitous endoribonuclease, found in archaea, bacteria and eukarya as well as chloroplasts and mitochondria. Its best characterised activity is the generation of mature 5'-ends of tRNAs by cleaving the 5'-leader elements of precursor-tRNAs. The record is from RNAcentral. Lineage: Bacteria; Candidatus Coatesiibacteriota.